This 218-nucleotide unclassified non-coding RNA is filed under the name soil metagenome. RNAcentral describes it as "partial contains 5.8S ribosomal RNA, internal transcribed spacer 2, and large subunit ribosomal RNA". The record is from RNAcentral.
AACCAUUCUCACCUGCGGCUAGACCUGCGGAGGGAUCAUUAACAUAAUAUUCAUUUGAUAUAUAUAGCCUUGUGUUAUAUAUAUUCAAACAACAAACGUACUUGAAUUUAAAGUCAAUAUAUUUUUUUAAAACACAAAAAAUAUUUAAACCAAAGGUGUUGGAUAAAACCAAACUGUUAAUUUAAUUAUAUAAAAUAACAACUUUUAACAACGGAUCU